RNAcentral lists this ribosomal RNA (451 nucleotides) under uncultured bacterium. RNAcentral describes it as "partial 16S ribosomal RNA". It matches the Rfam family "Bacterial small subunit ribosomal RNA", at positions 354 to 796 of the family's 1533-position model. The record is from RNAcentral.
GUGGGGAAUAUUGGACAAUGGGGGGAACCCUGAUCCAGCCAUGCCGCGUGUGUGAAGAAGGCCUUUUGGUUGUAAAGCACUUUAAGCGAGGAGGAGGCUACCGAGAUUAAUACUCUUGGAUAGUGGACGUUACUCGCAGAAUAAGCACCGGCUAACUCUGUGCCAGCAGCCGCGGUAAUACAGAGGGUGCAAGCGUUAAUCGGAUUUACUGGGCGUAAAGCGCGCGUAGGUGGCCAAUUAAGUCAAAUGUGAAAUCCCCGAGCUUAACUUGGGAAUUGCAUUCGAUACUGGUUGGCUAGAGUAUGGGAGAGGAUGGUAGAAUUCCAGGUGUAGCGGUGAAAUGCGUAGAGAUCUGGAGGAAUACCGAUGGCGAAGGCAGCCAUCUGGCCUAAUACUGACACUGAGGUGCGAACGCAUGGGGAGCAAACAGGAUUAGAAACCCGGGUAGUCC